GCCGAAGUGGCGGAAUUGGCAGACGCACGCGCCUCAAAAGCGCGCGGGUGAUCCCCGUGCCGGUUCGAGUCCGGCCUUCGGCACCA
RNAcentral lists this transfer RNA (86 nucleotides) under Bacilli bacterium. Its description in RNAcentral is "tRNA-Leu". It matches the Rfam family "tRNA". From Rfam's summary of the family: Transfer RNA (tRNA) molecules are approximately 80 nucleotides in length. Their secondary structure includes four short double-helical elements and three loops (D, anti-codon, and T loops). Further hydrogen bonds mediate the characteristic L-shaped molecular structure. tRNAs have two regions of fundamental functional importance: the anti-codon, which is responsible for specific mRNA codon recognition, and the 3' end, to which the tRNAs corresponding amino acid is attached (by aminoacyl-tRNA synthetases). tRNAs cope with the degeneracy of the genetic code in two manners: having more than one tRNA (with a specific anti-codon) for a particular amino acid; and 'wobble' base-pairing, i.e. permitting non-standard base-pairing at the 3rd anti-codon position. Lineage: Bacteria; Bacillati; Bacillota; Bacilli. The record is from RNAcentral.